Molecule: microRNA precursor, 88 nt
Organism: Crocodylus porosus (Australian saltwater crocodile)
Lineage: Eukaryota; Metazoa; Chordata; Crocodylia; Crocodylidae
Source: Ensembl
GUCUUCUAUAUGUACCCUGUAGAUCCGAAUUUGUGUAAAGGAAGUUGCGUCACAAAUUCGUAUCUAGGGGAAUAUGUAGUUGACACAA